GGGUUGUGAGGUUAAGCGACUAAGCGUACACGGUGGAUGCCCUGGCAGUCAGAGGCGAUGAAGGACGUGCUAAUCUGCGAUAAGCGUCGGUAAGGCGAUAUGAACCGUUAUAACCGGCGAUUUCCGAAUGGGGAAACCCAGUGUGAUUCGUCACACUAUCAUUAACUGAAUCCAUAGGUUAAUGAGGCGAACCGG
This 195-nucleotide ribosomal RNA is filed under the name Escherichia coli. Its description in RNAcentral is "partial 23S ribosomal RNA". It matches the Rfam family "Bacterial large subunit ribosomal RNA", at positions 1 to 187 of the family's 2925-position model. The record is from RNAcentral. Lineage: Bacteria; Pseudomonadati; Pseudomonadota; Gammaproteobacteria; Enterobacterales; Enterobacteriaceae.